This 325-nucleotide ribosomal RNA is filed under the name uncultured bacterium. RNAcentral describes it as "bacterial SSU rRNA". It matches the Rfam family "Bacterial small subunit ribosomal RNA", at positions 28 to 334 of the family's 1533-position model. The record is from RNAcentral.
GAUGAACGCUGGCGGCGUGCCUAACACAUGCAAGUCGAACGGACAUUUUUUGGAAAGUUCUUCGGAACUGGAAUCUAAAUGUUAGUGGCGGACGGGUGAGUAACGCGUGAGCAAUCUGCCUUUCAGAGGGGGAUAACAGCCGGAAACGGCUGCUAAUACCGCAUAAGACCACAGAGCCGCAUGGCUCGGGGGUCAAAGGAGAAAUCCGCUGAAGGAUGGCCUCGCGUCCGAUUAGCUAGUUGGCGGGGUAACGGCCCACCAAGGCGACGAUCGGUAGCCGGACUGAGAGGUUGAUCGGCCACAUUGGGACUGAGACACGGCCCAG